CAGUAGCCGCGGUAAUACAGAGGAUGCAAGCGUUAUCCGGAAUGAUUGGGCGUAAAGCGUGCGCAGGCGGUUAUAUAAGUCAGAUGUGAAAUCCCCGGGCUCAACCUGGGAACUGCAUUUGAGACUGUAUGGCUAGAGUGUGUCAGAGGGGGGUAGAAUUCCACGUGUAGCAGUGAAAUGCGUAGAUAUGCGGAGGAACACCGAUGGCGAAGGCAAUCCCCUGGGCCUGCACUGACGCUCAUGCACGAAAGCGUGGGGAGCAAACAGGAUUAGAUACCCCAGUAGUCCCUGUCUCUUAUAA
This 301-nucleotide ribosomal RNA is filed under the name uncultured bacterium. RNAcentral describes it as "partial 16S ribosomal RNA". It matches the Rfam family "Bacterial small subunit ribosomal RNA", at positions 509 to 809 of the family's 1533-position model. The record is from RNAcentral.